CUUGGUCAUUUAGAGGAAGUAAAAGUCGUAACAAGGUCUCCGUAGGUGAACCUGCGGAGGGAUCAUUACCGAGUGAGGGCCCCUGGUCCGACCUCCAACCCUUUGUCGUCUGACCCCGUUGCCUCGGGCGCCGCCGCUCACGCGGCCGCCCGACGGACCGUUUAACUCUGCAUCCUUGCGUCGGAGUCUCAAUGCAAAUUGAACUAAAACUUUCAACAACGGAUCUCUUGGUUCUGGCAUCGAUGAAGAACGCAGCGAAAUGCGAUAAGUAAUGUGAAUUGCAGAAUUCAGUGAAUCAUCGAAUCUUUGAACGCACAUUGCGCCCUCUGGUAUUCCGGGGGGCAUGCCUGUUCGAGCGUCAUUUAAACCAAUCCAGCCCGGCUGGGUGUUGGGCAUCGCGGCGUCCCGCCGCGGGCCUCAAUGUCGCCGGCCGCGCCGACCGUCUCCUGGCGUCGUGAUAUACAUAUCGCCUCGGACGACGGACGGACGCGCGCCGUCAAACCCUUUCUCAGGUUGACCUCGGAUCAGGUAGGGAUACCCGCUGAACUUAAGCAUAUCAAUAAGCGGAGGA
This 571-nucleotide ribosomal RNA is filed under the name uncultured Phacellium. RNAcentral describes it as "eukaryotic LSU rRNA". The stretch from base 208 to 361 matches the Rfam family "5.8S ribosomal RNA". The record is from RNAcentral. Lineage: Eukaryota; Fungi; Ascomycota.